This 253-nucleotide ribosomal RNA is filed under the name uncultured bacterium. RNAcentral describes it as "partial 16S ribosomal RNA". It matches the Rfam family "Bacterial small subunit ribosomal RNA", at positions 524 to 776 of the family's 1533-position model. The record is from RNAcentral.
UACGUAGGUGGCAAGCGUUGUCCGGAAUUAUUGGGCGUAAAGCGCGCGCAGGCGGUUUCUUAAGUCUGAUGUGAAAGCCCCCGGCUCAACCGGGGAGGGUCAUUGGAAACUGGGAAACUUGAGUGCAGAAGAGGAAAGUGGAAUUCCAAGUGUAGCGGUAAAAUGCGUAGAGAUUUGGAGGAACACCAGUGGCGAAGGCGACUUUCUGGUCUGUAACUGACGCUGAGGCGCGAAAGCGUGGGGAGCAAACAGG